RNAcentral lists this ribosomal RNA (1043 nucleotides) under uncultured bacterium. RNAcentral's name for it is "bacterial SSU rRNA". It matches the Rfam family "Bacterial small subunit ribosomal RNA", at positions 335 to 1394 of the family's 1533-position model. The record is from RNAcentral.
AUUCCUACGGGAGGCAGCAGUAGGGAAUUUUCCACAAUGGACGAAAGUCUGAUGGAGCAACGCCGCGUGCAGGAUGAAGGCCCUCGGGUCGUAAACUGCUUUUUUCUGUGAUGAUUAUGACAGUAGCAGACGAAUAAGGAUCGGCUAACUCCGUGCCAGCAGCCGCGGUCAUACGGAGGAUCCAAGCGUUAUCCGGAUUUACUGGGCGUAAAGAGUUGCGUAGGCGGUUUACCAAGCAAGGCAUGAAAUAGUGUGGCUCAACCAUACUGCUAUGUUUUGAACUGGUAGACUAGAGGAUGAGAGAGGUUAUUGGAAUUCCAAGUGUAGGAGUGAAAUCCGUAGACAUUUGGAGGAACACCGAUGGCGUAGGCAGAUAACUGGCUCAUUCCUGACGCUAAGGCACGAAAGCGUGGGUAGCAAACAGGAUUAGAUACCCCGGUAGUCCACGCCGUAAACUAUGGAUGCUAGCUGUACACCGUAUCGACCCGGUGUGUAGCGAAGCUAACGCGUUAAGCAUCCCGCCCGUGGAGUACGAGCGCAAGCUUAAAACAUAAAGGAAUUGACGGGGACCCGCACAAGCGGUGGAGCGUGUUGUUUAAUUCGAUGGUAAGCGAAGAACCUUACCAAGGCUUGAAAUCCUGAGAAGCACUGCGAAAGCAGAGUGUGCCUUCGGGAACUCAGUGACAGGUGUUGCAUGGCCGUCGUCAGCUCGUGUCGUGAGAUGUUGGGUUAAGUCCCGCAACGAGCGCAACCCUCGUCAUCAGUUGCCACCAUUAAGUUGGGCACUCUGGUGAGACCGCUUGCCGAUAAGGCAGAGGAAGGUGGGGGUGACGUCAAGUCCUCAUGGCCCUUAUGCCCAGGGCUACACACGUGCUACAAUGGCCGGUACAAAGGGUUGCAAACUCGCGAGAGCCAGCUAAUCCCAAAAAACCGGCCUCAGUUCAGAUUGGAGUCUGCAACUCGACUCCAUGAAGUCGGAAUCGCUAGUAAUCCCUGAUCAGCAGGCAGGGGUGAAUACGUUCCCGGGCCUUGUACACACCGCC